Molecule: transfer RNA, 71 nt
Organism: Loxodonta africana (African savanna elephant)
Lineage: Eukaryota; Metazoa; Chordata; Mammalia; Proboscidea; Elephantidae
Rfam family: tRNA
About the family: Transfer RNA (tRNA) molecules are approximately 80 nucleotides in length. Their secondary structure includes four short double-helical elements and three loops (D, anti-codon, and T loops).
Source: Rfam
GCAGUGGUAGUUCAGUGGUAGAAUUCUAGCCUUCCAUGUAGGAGACUCAGGUUUGAUUCCCAGUCAAUGCA